This 75-nucleotide transfer RNA is filed under the name Bacteroides ovatus. RNAcentral describes it as "tRNA-Met". It matches the Rfam family "tRNA". Rfam says of the family: Transfer RNA (tRNA) molecules are approximately 80 nucleotides in length. Their secondary structure includes four short double-helical elements and three loops (D, anti-codon, and T loops). Lineage: Bacteria; Pseudomonadati; Bacteroidota; Bacteroidia; Bacteroidales; Bacteroidaceae. RNAcentral also lists the same sequence under 6 other names. The record is from RNAcentral.
GGGCUUUUAGCUCAGUUGGUUAGAGCAACAGACUCAUAAUCUGGAGGUCCUUGGUUCAAGCCCAAGAUGGCCCAC